Nannospalax galili (Upper Galilee mountains blind mole rat) is the source of this 416-nucleotide long non-coding RNA. RefSeq lists it as uncharacterized. Lineage: Eukaryota; Metazoa; Chordata; Mammalia; Rodentia; Spalacidae. The transcript has 4 exons. The record is from RefSeq and is a predicted model, not a curated record.
GAUGCCCUCUUCUGAUCUCUGUGGACAUUGUACAAUACAGACCAUGAGAACUUACUUGUUCAAGAGAGCUCAGUGAAGGAAUAUGAAAAAUAAAAACCCUAGAACAGAGAUGGCCCAUUCCAGCUUAUAGCUUCUUGAUAUUCACGUGUGUGAAUUCCAGCUUGUAGCCAGCAGACAUCUACACACAAUGGUGACCACAGUUCCACUGUGUCAGGUUCAUGGAAGGCAACAACAGUUCCAGGCUCACAGGAGGAAGUGGUGAUGAGACAUCUUACUGGAGUCAAGUUUUAAGUCUUCCUACAGCCUGUCAUGCCCGUGCCUCUCCACAUCAAGAUCUGGUGUUCCACCAUUUCACUAGUACCAGUGGCCACACCACUAGCUUGACUACCCAGUUACUUUCUUUUGUACUUGCCAAG